UGGAUUAGCGGCGGACGGGUGAGUAACACGUGAGUAACCUGCCUUAGACAUUGGGAUAGCCUCGGGAAACCGGGAUUAAUACCAAAUAAAAUCAUAAUGACACAUGUCAUAACGAUCAAAACUCCGGUGGUCUAAGAUGGACUCGCGUCCCAUUAGCUAGUUGGUAGAGUAAAAGCCUACCAAGGCGACGAUGGGUAGCCGGCCUGAGAGGGUGAACGGCCACAUUGGAACUGAGAAACGGUCCAAACUCC
This 251-nucleotide ribosomal RNA is filed under the name uncultured Peptoniphilus sp. RNAcentral describes it as "partial 16S ribosomal RNA". It matches the Rfam family "Bacterial small subunit ribosomal RNA", at positions 88 to 339 of the family's 1533-position model. Lineage: Bacteria; Bacillati; Bacillota; Tissierellia; Tissierellales; Peptoniphilaceae. The record is from RNAcentral.